RNAcentral lists this ribosomal RNA (822 nucleotides) under Cetraria kamtczatica. RNAcentral's name for it is "SSU rRNA". It matches the Rfam family "Bacterial small subunit ribosomal RNA", at positions 360 to 1152 of the family's 1533-position model. The record is from RNAcentral. Lineage: Eukaryota; Fungi; Ascomycota; Lecanoromycetes; Lecanorales; Parmeliaceae.
AAUGUAUAGCAAUAGCUACUUGCAUCAUUGUAAAUAUCAUGCAAGAUCGACUAUGUCGAAUAAAAUUCUAGGUAGAAUUAUGAUAAUGACAUUGUCUGCCUAUGUGUCUUGACCAAAUUACGUGCCAGCAGUCGCGGUAAUACGUAGAAGACUAGUGUUAUUCAUGUUUAAUCGGUUUAAAGGGUACCUAGACGGUAAAUCAAGCCUAAAAUGAAAUGAAUGAAGGGACUAAUUUACUAGAGUUACUUAUGAGGGGGUAUUAAAGUACUGCUGGUGUAGAGAUGAAAUUCUGUCAUACCUCUUUUCAAUAGAAAAAUAAUGGCACAGGUAUAGGCGAAAGCAUCCCCUUAUGUGAUAACUGACGUUGAGGGACGAAGGCUUUGUGUAGCGAACAGGAUUAGAUACCCCAGUAGUCAAAGCAGAAAAUGAUGAAUGUCAUAGAUUAGAUAUAUAAGUUUAUUCUAUAAAUGAAAGUGUAAGCAUUCCACCUCAAGAGUAAUUUGGCAACAUUGGAACUGAAAUCAUUAGACCGUUUCUGAAACCAGUAGUGAAGUAUGUUGUUUAAUUUGAUGAUCCGCAAAAAACCUUACCACAAUUUGAAUAUUUAUAUCUUUUAUUGUUUUUCUUUUUAACUUUAUUCUAAUUUUCUACUUAAAAGAAAACAAUAACAAGAAAAAAGAGGCAAUAAGAUAUAUUUACAAGCGUUGCACGGCUGUCUUCAGUUAAUGUCGCGAGACUAUGGUUAGUUCCAUUAAAUUAACGUAAACCCUUACUUUAUUUUUAUAUAGAGUAGUUCCCCGCUAUAUUGGAUAUGAUAACAGG